Molecule: ribosomal RNA, 340 nt
Filed under: uncultured bacterium
Lineage: Bacteria
Description: bacterial SSU rRNA
Rfam family: Bacterial small subunit ribosomal RNA
Source: RNAcentral
GACGAACGCUGGCGGCGUGCAUAACACAUGCAAGUCAAGGGGGCCCGCAAGGGCAACCGGCGAACGGGUGCGUAACACGUAAGCGACCUACCUCGAUGUGGGGCAUAGCCGGCCUAACGGCCGGGUAAUUCCGCAUACGCUCUUGGAGGGGCAUAUCUCCGAGAUGAAACCAGCAAUGGGCAUUGAGAGGGGCUUGCGGCCUAUCAGCUAGUUGGUGAGGUAACGGCUCACCAAGGCUACGACGGGUAGCUGGUCUGAGAGGAUGGCCAGCCACAUUGGGACUGAGAAACGGCCCAGACUCCUACGGGAGGCAGCAGUGGGGAAUCUUGCGCAAUGGCCU